CUAAGCCUUUGAAUCCCUUCUUCUACACUAACCAUGGGCGGCCAGGCAUGUCCAGUUAUCCCAUGGUGGGCCAUGUUUUGGCCCAUGUUUCAGCCAAGCAGCCAACCAACCAAUUAGAGCCCUUUCUAAAUGCGGAAUCUCUGCUUAGUGAGCCCGUAUCAAUAAACUUGGCCUGAUCUAACUCUGUGUUCCUCCUACCAUUCUCCCAGGCCCUCAAUAUGCAUUCCCACGGUCCUGGGAUUUCUAUGUAAACUGGAAAACUCACGUUCUCUUUGACACCGUGAGGCUGGGAGUUCCACAUGUGCUAUAAUCCAGCCACUGGAAGGGCGAGAUUCUGGGUUUGAUUUUCAGUAGUCUCAGACCCGCAGCUAAAGGAGGUAAGAGUCUCUCUUGGGACAGUCAUAACUUUCAGAUUAUUCAUGUGACACUUCAGCUGGGAAUCUGAAUCCUGAGCUCACUCCCAUGAUACUUUUUCUGAGAUGGAGUCUCACUCUGUAGCCCAG
RNAcentral lists this long non-coding RNA (503 nucleotides) under Homo sapiens (human). RNAcentral describes it as "HSALNT0309856". The record is from RNAcentral. Lineage: Eukaryota; Metazoa; Chordata; Mammalia; Primates; Hominidae.